AUUGAACGCUGGCGGCAUGCCUUACACAUGCAAGUCGAACGGCAGCACGGGAGCAAUCCUGGUGGCGAGUGGCGAACGGGUGAGUAAUGUAUCGGAACGUACCUUUCAGUGGGGGAGUAACGUAGCGAAAGUUACGCUAAUACCGCAUAUUCUGUGAGCAGGAAAGACAGGGGAGUCGCAAGACCUUGCGCUGAUUGAGCGGCCGAUAUCAGAUUAGCUAGUUGGUGAGGUAAAGGCUCACCAAGGCGACGAUCCGUAGCUGGUCUGAGAGGACGACCAGCCACACUGGGACUGAGACACGGACCCGACUCCUACGGGAGGCAGCAGUAAGGAAUAUUGGACAAUGGUCGCAAGACUGAUCCAGCCAUGCCGCGUGCAGGAUGAACGAUCUAUGAUCUGU
Molecule: ribosomal RNA, 400 nt
Filed under: uncultured bacterium
Lineage: Bacteria
Description: bacterial SSU rRNA
Rfam family: Bacterial small subunit ribosomal RNA
Source: RNAcentral